UGGGGAAUAUUGGACAAUGGGCGGAAGCCUGAUCCAGCCAUGCCGCGUGUGAAGAAGGCCUUUUGGUUGUAAAGCACUUUAAGCGAGGAGGAGGCUACUUGGAUUAAUACUCUAGGAUAGUGGACGUUACUCGCAGAAUAAGCACCGGCUAACUCUGUGCCAGCAGCCGCGGUAAUACAGAGGGUGCGAGCGUUAAUCGGAUUUACUGGGCGUAAAGCGUGCGUAGGCGGCUUCUUAAGUCGGAUGUGAAAUCCCUGAGCUUAACUUAGGAAUUGCAUUCGAUACUGGGAAGCUAGAGUAUGGGAGAGGAUGGUAGAAUUCCAGGUGUAGCGGUGAAAUGCGUAGAGAUCUGGAGGAAUACCGAUGGCGAAGGCAGCCAUCUGGCCUAAUACUGACGCUGAGGUACGAAAGCAUGGGGAGCAAACAGG
This 428-nucleotide ribosomal RNA is filed under the name bacterium. RNAcentral describes it as "partial 16S ribosomal RNA". It matches the Rfam family "Bacterial small subunit ribosomal RNA", at positions 355 to 776 of the family's 1533-position model. The record is from RNAcentral.